GUCCUACGGGAGGCAGCAGUAGGGAAUCUUCCACAAUGGGCGAAAGCCUGAUGGAGCAACGCCGCGUGGGUGAAGAAGGUCUUCGGAUCGUAAAACCCUGAGGUAAGAGAAGAAAGUGCGUGAGAGAAACUGUUCACGUUUCGAAGGUAUCUAACCAGAAAGCCACGGACAACCAAGUGCCAGCAGCCGCGGAAAUACGUAGGUGGCGAGCGUAAGCCGGAUUUAUUGGGCGUAA
RNAcentral lists this ribosomal RNA (235 nucleotides) under uncultured bacterium. RNAcentral's name for it is "partial 16S ribosomal RNA". It matches the Rfam family "Bacterial small subunit ribosomal RNA", at positions 335 to 563 of the family's 1533-position model. The record is from RNAcentral.